AUUGAACGCUGGCGGCAGGCCUAACACAUGCAAGUCGAACGGUAACAGGAAACAGCUUGCUGUUUCGCUGACGAGUGGCGGACGUGUGAGUAAUGUCUGGGAAACUUCCUGAUGGAGGGGGAUAACUACUGGAAACGGUAGCUAAUACCGCAUAACGUCGCAAGACCAAAGAGGGGGACAUUCGGGCCUCUUGCCAUCGGAUGGGCCCAGAUGGGAUUAGCUAGUAGGUGGGGUAACGGCGCACCUAGGCGACGAUCCCUAGCUGGUCUGAGAGGAUGACCAGCCACACUGGAACUGAGACACGGUCCAGACUCCUACGGGAGGCAGCAGUGGGGAAUAUUGCACAAUGGGCGCAAGCCUGAUGCAGCCAUGCCGCGUGUAUGAAGAAGGCCUUCGGGUUGUAAAGUACUUUCAGCGGGGAGGAAGGGAGUAAAGUUAAUACCUUGACUCAUUGACGUUACCAGCAGAAGAAGCACCGGCUAACUCCGUG
This 490-nucleotide ribosomal RNA is filed under the name uncultured bacterium. RNAcentral describes it as "partial 16S ribosomal RNA". It matches the Rfam family "Bacterial small subunit ribosomal RNA", at positions 30 to 507 of the family's 1533-position model. The record is from RNAcentral.